CCUACGGGGGGCAGCAGUGAGGAAUAUUGGUCAAUGGACGAGAGUCUGAACCAGCCAAGUAGCGUGAAGGAUGACUGCCCUAUGGGUUGUAAACUUCUUUUAUAAAGGAAUAAAACGAGGCACGUGUGCCUUUUGCAUGUACUUUAUGAAUAAGGAUCGGCUAACUCCGUGCCAGCAGCCGCGGUAAUACGGAGGAUCCGAGCGUUAUCCGGAUUUAUGGGGUUUAAAGGGAGCGUAGAUGGGUUGUUAAGUCAGUUGUGAAAGUUUGCGGCUCAACCGUAAAAUUGCAAUUGAUACUGGCAGUCUUGAGUACAGUUGAGGUAGGCGGAAUUCGUGGUGUAGCGGUGAAAUGCUUAGAUAUCACGAAGAACCCCGAUUGCGAAGGCAGCUUACUAAACUGUGACUGACAUUGAUGCUCGAAAGUGUGGGUAUCAAACAGGAUUAGAUACCCCAGUAGUC
Molecule: ribosomal RNA, 459 nt
Filed under: uncultured bacterium
Lineage: Bacteria
Description: partial 16S ribosomal RNA
Rfam family: Bacterial small subunit ribosomal RNA
Source: RNAcentral